This is an RNA transcript of Camelus dromedarius (Arabian camel), 5631 nucleotides long. It is a transcript of the gene named zinc finger DHHC-type palmitoyltransferase 20, with no coding region annotated. The transcript is spliced from 12 exons. The record is from RefSeq and is a predicted model, not a curated record. NCBI's taxonomy places the organism in Eukaryota, Metazoa, Chordata, Mammalia, Artiodactyla, Camelidae.
AGCUACCGGGAGCGCCGGAGUAGCCGCUGCCGCCCCCGCCGACGGGGGCCUGGCGCGCCCCGCCACCCCGGGCCGCUGGGUGCCGCGGCCGCCGGCGGAACAUGGCGCCCUGCACGUUGUGGCGCUGCUGCCAGCGCAGCGUGGGCUGGGUGCCUGUGCUGUUCAUCACCUUCGUGGUCGUGUGGUCCUACUACGCGUACGUGGUGGAGCUGUGCGUGUUUACACUCUCUGGGAACGGAGAAAACGGAAAGGCCGUUGUUUACCUUGUGGCUUUCCAUCUGUUCUUUGUUAUGUUUGUGUGGUCCUAUUGGAUGACAAUUUUCACAUCUCCCGCUUCCCCCUCCAAAGAGUUCUACUUGUCCAAUUCUGAAAAGGAACGUUAUGAGAAGGAAUUCAGCCAAGAAAGACAACAAGAAAUUUUGAGAAGAGCAGCAAGGGACUUACCUAUCUAUACCACGUCGGCUUCAAGGACCAUCAGAUAUUGUGAGAGAUGUCAGUUGAUCAAACCCGACCGUGCUCAUCACUGCUCAGCAUGUGACAUAUGUGUUCUUAAGAUGGAUCAUCACUGUCCUUGGGUGAAUAACUGUGUGGGAUUUUCUAAUUACAAAUUCUUCCUGCUGUUUUUACUAUACUCUCUAUUAUAUUGCCUUUUCGUGGCUGCAACAGUUUUACAGUACUUUAUAAAAUUUUGGACGAAUGAACUCUCAGACACACGUGCAAAAUUCCAUGUCCUUUUCCUUUUCUUUGUGUCCACAAUGUUCUUCAUCAGCGUGCUGUCACUCCUCGGCUACCACUGCUGGCUCGUUGGAAAAAACAGAACAACAAUAGAAUCGUUCCGUGCGCCCACAUUUUCGUACGGAUCUGAUGGAAGUGGUUUCUCUCUUGGAUGCACUAAAAAUUGGAGAGAAGUCUUUGGUGAUGAAAAGAAAUAUUGGCUACUUCCAAUAUUUUCAAGUCCGGGUGAUGGCUGCAGUUUCCCGACUCGCCUGGUGGGGACGGAUCCAGAACAAUCUUCUGUUUCAAACCAAAGUGAAUAUGCCAGAAGGUGUGCUUCUUGUCGUUUCUUUUUUCAGAGUUCACGAUAAAGCAAACCAUGUGUGUCAUACAAAGAUGAACACGGUGUGAUGAAGCAAGCCAGUGUAGACAGGGAGAGAAAUUAUAGAGAGUUUUUAACUGAGGAUUAUUCUGUGCAUACACCUGAUGUGCUUCAGAUAAUCAUAUUUUUAUCAUCCAAACCGAAACAGUUUUGCGAGUUAGGAAGUGAGUGCUGUGCGUAGUUGAGCCAGGGCAGUCACGUGACACUGCCCGCGUCCGAGCACGAAGCACAGCUUCCCUCCUUGUGCUGCGUCUCCCCUGAAACUGAAACCCUCUUGCAAGGUUGGACUAUGUUGCUUUGUAUCAGUUAGUUUUCAAAGAAGUUAGUCGCUGUACUGUUUAUUUGAUAAACAGAUUUUAACUGUAGUGUGAAAAUAAUAUUAGUGAGGAUUCAAAUGUACAAAUGCAGAGUUUUUUCUUACUCAUCUUAGAGGAUAUUUUCUCAGGGUCUGUAUGGUAAGCAGACAGGUUUACAAGUUCAGAGAAAUAGUUUCUUUUAAAUGAGAUUGUAAAGAAGAUAGAUACCCUUCUGUCAAAGUGAAACCCUUGAAACUUAAUUACUCCAGAAAUAAGUUGUGGGGGAGGAGGGAUUAAAACUUCCAAGUUAGCAGAUGAGUUUCAGGAGCGCGUAGGCCUUCAAGCCUAGAGCCUAAGGCCUUCUGGGACCUCCGAGCGCUGACGUCUGCUGUAGGUCUGAGCAGUUAGCGUCCAGCUCUGUAAGGGGAGAGCGGUCGUGCUGCCUCCGGGGUGGCUGUGCAGGUUGCGGUAAUGUGUAGAAAGCACCCAGCUCCGUGUCCAGCCCGGAGCAGGCACCCAACGAAUAGUAGCUCCCUUUCCUUCUUCUUCUGCCCUCUGUUCCCUCCCUCCCUGGACCUCUUAGCUAGAAAAAUAAGUCUACGCUGAAUCACUGAAUCAUUUUUUCCCCUUAGAUCUAUACUGCAGAGGUAGAAAGCAGAAAACUUGGGAAAUGACAGUAUUGGCUCAAAUCAGCCCUUUCCUACUAAACCGCUUAGUGAAUCAAAAAACCGCUUGUUGGACAGUGAAUCUCAGUGGAUAGAGAAUGGACCUGAAGCAGGUGCUGUUGGAUCAGGUUUAUGAAAACAUACUAUGGACUGAUAUUUUCAUUUCUAUUUGCAAGAAAAUGAUCAAUGGAAUGAAAUAGUUGAAGUAUAACAGAAGACAUAUUUUUUAAAAAGGAAACCUUUGUGUGAGACCGCUGGACCCACGGGAGCACCUCUCAGAGCGGGAAGACGCCUUAGCCUUAAAUGAGCCCAUUCGGUCGACGCUGACUUACAGCCACGAACGUGACUCGGACUUGCUUUGGAAAUAACACUUACAGUUCUGACAUGCUGCGGCAUGAGCUAUCAGGUCACACGUUAACAUGGCAUACGUAGUUUUUGAUCCCUGAGUUACAUUAGUAGAGUUAUUUCUUAGUAUCCAUGUAAAUUUUCACUCUAGAAAACAAGCUAAAAAUUUGUCUCCAGUGAUGUAGGUCAGCGUGGUGGCUGAAAGCAAGUAACAAUAUCCAAAUUACUGCUGCUUGUGCUGUGUGAGGGAAAGAAAGAAACUGCUUUUUUAAAAAAAAUCUGGUGUUUGCUAAUUUAUAGUUACUGUUUUAUACUUUCCAACAUUUUUAAUAAAGAUUUUUUUAUUGUUGGCUAUUAAAUAACACUCAGAAGGAUUUAGAUAACUAAAUAUAAUUGCUUAAAACAUGGAGUACAUUUGUAUAAUUCACUGAAGGCUUCGUUCUAAGCAUUAGUUAAACCAUGUGUGCUGUUGUGCCCAAGGGUUAAAAGAAAUGUGGCCGUGUGAGACAUGUUUGUUUCUCUCUGCUUUUCGAAGUACUUUUUUGUUGAGCUUUCAUGGGUAUCUAUACAGGCAGGGAAACAAAGGUUACACGUGUUACAGAAACACAGUCACAGUAGGAGCAGGUGGAGGUGGCCAGAAGAAAAGCGAAGAGAAAGAUCGACCGCAGGUCAGCUGUUAGAAGACACUGAGUGCUGCCUGCUCGUGAGUCGGCUCCCAAAUUUCAGCUUAGGGAAGCACUGAGAUCUGCUUUGAAACCUGUUAAAGGAAUACUGUAAACUUACGGAGGGUGAAACUGUUUAGCAUGACACUGUUCUCAAGGAGGAGAUUCUCACCUGAGUCGUCGUUCGGAAUCUCUGUUUUCUGAGAGGUGGAUUCCACUCUUAAGUGCAGGAUGUACAGUCUGCCCUAACAGCAACCUCUUUCUGCUUAGACCCAGCUCCCCUUUUUCCUUUUGAAACCCAGUCUAAACAACAGGACUUGUCGCAUUAAUUCUGAAGAAAUAUAGUGUCCUGUAAAGGAGAGACUGCACAGAUGUUGCUGCUGUCCUUCCUCAUCCACACUGCUUAGCCGGACAUGCACACACACCUGAUCACUUCUGUAAUGAGACCGCUUUUAGCGCCAUCUGUGUGUGUCACGAUUACGGUUUCCUGUCUGUAGAGUGGGGCUGGGGCCGGGCUGUUGGCAUGAUUUGGGCUGGGUGCCCUCUAACAGUCUUCAGUUCGUAAUUCUGCACAAUACCGUAUGACAUCCACCCAACAAGUAUUUUUGUAGUUCCUUCUGGAUGCCAAGCAAUAUACUAGAGAUAGCUCUGUGAUUUCCUAAUGUAGCAUAAGUUUUACAGCCACAUGCUCCAGGUUUACAGUUACAGGAUUUGUCUAAUUCUGUGGGCUAUGCUAAUAUUAGAUUUUAAAGGGAAGUAACUUUUUUUCUCUUUGAACCAGAGGAAUGGGUUAGCUUUGAAAAUGCAGUUUGAAAUGCUGUAUAAUAUGGCUUCUUCCAUCUUUAUUUCAACUCUGCAGUCUUAGUAAUCUUGAUUCUAGAAAACUUUUGUAUGAGAGUUAGGGGGCAUCAGUUACCAACCAGAAAUGACACUUAAGUUUGGCAGUUUGCAUGUUACAAGGAAAUGACAAUGAACGCAUGUGAUGCUUUCAGAAACGUCCUCCUGGUGCUUGUGGGUAUCUCUGCGUUGUCGCAGGACUGGCUGGCACCUGGUUAACCACUGAGGAGACUCACCUUUCCCCUCAGCCUACUCGGGUGCUUUAGUGUGUUUUCUUUUAAUUUUUUAUUUAACAUCAUUUUUAGUAGUAAACACCUUUUCAGAAAUUUUCAGCUAAAGCCUUUUACUUUAGUUAUCUUUGGUUUAAUUAAUUUAUGGCCAACAUUUGCCACAUUCUAAAUAAUUUUUGGUUGAGUUCGUUCAUACAUAUUCGUGACUGUUCAGCAAGGGCCUGCAGGCAUGUGGGAAUCCGGGAAAGGCUGCCUCUUGGGUAGUUCAGCUGGUGUUGAGUCGUGCUGUCAACUCCUUGGGGGAGAAAUGGCCAAAAUGAGCCUUGUCAAAAUGUGUUAGUACUACCUUUGGUCUUUCAAACACUUGAACAAUUGUGCUGACAUUUAAGGAGAAUAAGGUGGAAUUCCAGGUGUUGCUUUUCACAUUAAAAACAAACUAGACAGGAAACUUGGUUUUACCUGGGCGUGUACUUGAAUAUUCUGUCCCUGAGGCGUCUGACCACUGUCACUGUGCCAAACCCAGGAGCAGCUGCAGCCCGUGGUUACUCAGCAUACAGUUUAGCUUCAUCUCUGCAUAUGGAUGGUUUUCUUAAAAUCCUUUUACAUAUUUAGUGGUUAUGAUCUCGUGUGAUAAGUUAACUGUAAAGUUAGUUUAAAUCAAAUAUGCAAUGUUUACUUGAAUUCUGCUUCUAUUAGAAAGCAAAUUUUGACUGUUUACAGGAUUGUUUAAAUCACAGUUUUCCAGAUGUGUGAGCGUUCCCUUCGGUCAUCUUGCAGAUGCAUAUUAAGGGCUCAGUGUUAGGAUCUGCAUAUUUGGGGCAAUGAAAAGACAUAAGACUUACAAAUACAUUUCACUUAUAUUUUGUUCUAAGGACUGGCACUGCUGUCAAUGGAGAGUAUUUUUAACUAAUCUGUUAUUGAGAAAUUAAUCAUAUUUUUGCAUUUCAGCCAACAUAAAGAUCAUAGCUACUAUUCUGUAAGAUAUAGCUAAUCUGUAAUCCUGAAAUUCUUGUGUUUCAUAUGAUCUGAACUGUAUUUUACAACUUAAAUUAAAAAUGCAAUAUAGAUUCAGAAAGGUCCAUAUUUUUCUAACAACUUCACUUUGUAUUAUUUUGUUGGGUUGCAUAAAGGAGGAAUUGUAUUUGUAUUAAAAGCUUAAGAAAGCUGUUGGGUUUAUUGUAUUUGUACAUGAUUGCAGAUGAGUCUAUGCCCAUUUUAAAGAAAAGAUGGACACUAUUUUAAAGUGAUCUUUAAUAUGUUUUUAUAUAAACACAUCUGAAAUACAGUUUACUUUGAUGAUCUUUACUUACUAAGUCCCAUAAGUCUUGUAUUUGUUUCUCAUAAGUGUAACCCUGGACCAUGACUUAAUGUUAACUCUUUGCUUUGUCUUUUGGGUGGCCUAACCUACAUUAACAUGAAGCCGGAACAUUUUGAAAAUAUUUCUUCCCAGAAAUCAUCAUCAUGAUUUACUUUAUUAAUAAACAAAAUCCUGUAUUUGAA